Sinocyclocheilus rhinocerous is the source of this 148-nucleotide long non-coding RNA. RefSeq lists it as uncharacterized. The record is from RefSeq and is a predicted model, not a curated record. The transcript is spliced from 3 exons. NCBI's taxonomy places the organism in Eukaryota, Metazoa, Chordata, Actinopteri, Cypriniformes, Cyprinidae.
AUGUACACAUUACUUAGAAAUAACCCACAGCCCACCAUGGAGGACGUGACCGAGGGUCUCGCUGGUAAUUUAUGCAGAUGCACAGGGUACCGGCCCAUCGUUGACGGCUACAGAACCUUCUGUGAGAGUGAAAACUGUUGCCAGUUAA